Molecule: ribosomal RNA, 495 nt
Filed under: uncultured bacterium
Lineage: Bacteria
Description: partial 16S ribosomal RNA
Rfam family: Bacterial small subunit ribosomal RNA
Source: RNAcentral
GAUGAACGCUGGCGGCGUGCCUAAUACAUGCAAGUAGAACGCUGAAGGAGGAGCUUGCUCUUCUGGAUGAGUUGCGAACGGGUGAGUAACGCGUAGGUAACCUGCCUGGUAGCGGGGGAUAACUAUUGGAAACGAUAGCUAAUACCGCAUGACAACAGUUAUUGCAUGAUAACUGUUUAAAAGGGGCAACUGCUCCACUACCAGAUGGACCUGCGUUGUAUUAGCUAGUUGGUGAGGUAACGGCUCACCAAGGCGACGAUACAUAGCCGACCUGAGAGGGGGAUCGGCCACACUGGGACUGAGACACGGCCCAGACUCCUACGGGAGGCAGCAGUAGGGAAUCUUCGGCAAUGGACCGAAGUCUGACCGAGCAACGCCGCGUGAGUGAAGAAGGUUUUCGGAUCGUAAAGCUCUGUUGUAAGAGAAGAACGAUUGUGAGAGUGGAAAGUUCACAAUGUGACGGUAUCUUACCAGAAAGGGACGGCUAACUACGUG